CCUGGGACCACGACCCGAGCCGAAGGCAGACGCUUAAUGACUGAGCCACCCAGGUGCCCCUCAAAUAAAUCUUUAAAAAAAAGAAAGAAGACUGCUUUGGCUCUUCGGGGUCUUUUGUGGUCCAUACAAAUUUUAGGAUUAUUUACUCUAUUAUUUAUUUUUUUUUCAGGGUAUUUUCUCACCAGAUCCUUGGAGUGUGCUGGUGUUGGCUUUCUCUCAUUGACCAUUUCACAGCUGAAGUUUAGAGGACUUGCCCAAAGCCCACUCCAUUUUGUUGAUGGACUUUUAAUGACCACCCAUCCAUUAAGGACAAAGCUAUCCUUAGUGCUUCCCGUCGGCUUCACCCUGAUUCCUGCAUCAGUCAUGAUGUAACUCUGGGGUCUCCAAAGAUUUGUUUUUGAUGCCUCUCCUUCCUCCCAGCUUCACCGCCCGCCAGGGCUCUCCACCGGAGCGCCAACCUUUCCAGCUCAUCUCACCUUAUCUGAGCCAGGCAGCCCUUCUCCAAACAAGCCGGCUGGGCCUCCGCCCUCAUGCUCCUGCCUGAGAUCACCGAAUAAAUCCCCUUUCGAGCCUCAACACAUCCCCCGCCCCCCCAGCUCAGGUCCUCACUGCACCACCACCCCUUGUAGCCAGCCUCUACCUGCAGUCAGCCCCACCCGCCUCAGCGCACCAGAGACCUGCCUGUUUCUCUCCUCGUGGCGGCGGCCUCCGAAAACUGUUCAUAAG
Molecule: long non-coding RNA, 726 nt
Organism: Mirounga angustirostris (Northern elephant seal)
Lineage: Eukaryota; Metazoa; Chordata; Mammalia; Carnivora; Phocidae
Exons: 2
Source: RefSeq, a predicted model, not a curated record